This 376-nucleotide ribosomal RNA is filed under the name uncultured bacterium. Its description in RNAcentral is "bacterial SSU rRNA". It matches the Rfam family "Bacterial small subunit ribosomal RNA", at positions 521 to 896 of the family's 1533-position model. The record is from RNAcentral.
UAAGACGAACCGAGCGAACGUUGUUCGGAAUCACUGGGCUUAAAGGGCGCGUAGGCGGGCUGUCAAGUUUGGGGUGAAAUCCCGCGGCUCAACCGUGGAACUGCCUCAAAUACUGACGGUCUCGAGGGAGGUAGGGGCGAGCGGAACUGAUGGUGGAGCGGUGAAAUGCGUUGAUAUCAUCAGGAACUCCGGUGGCGAAGGCGGCUCGCUGGACCUCUUCUGACGCUGAGGCGCGAAAGCUAGGGGAGCAAACGGGAUUAGAUACCCCGGUAGUCCUAGCCCUAAACGUUGGGUACUAGGUAGUAGACUAGACAUGGGUUUACUGCCGAAGCAAAAGUGCUAAGUACCCCGCCUGGGGAGUAUGGUCGCAAGGCUG